RNAcentral lists this ribosomal RNA (1441 nucleotides) under uncultured organism. RNAcentral's name for it is "16S ribosomal RNA". It matches the Rfam family "Bacterial small subunit ribosomal RNA". The record is from RNAcentral.
GAUGAACGCUAGCUACAGGCUUAACACAUGCAAGUCGAGGGGCAGCAUUUUAGUUUGCUUGCAAACUGAAGAUGGCGACCGGCGCACGGGUGAGUAACACGUAUCCAACCUGCCGAUAACUCCGGAAUAGCCUUUCGAAAGAAAGAUUAAUACCGGAUAGCAUACGAAUAUCGCAUGAUAUUUUUAUUAAAGAAUUUCGGUUAUCGAUGGGGAUGCGUUCCAUUAGUUUGUUGGCGGGGUAACGGCCCACCAAGACAACGAUGGAUAGGGGUUCUGAGAGGAAGGUCCCCCACAUUGGAACUGAGACACGGUCCAAACUCCUACGGGAGGCAGCAGUGAGGAAUAUUGGUCAAUGGGCGAGAGCCUGAACCAGCCAAGUAGCGUGAAGGAUGAAGGCUGUAUGGGUCGUAAACUUCUUUUAUAUGGGAAUAAAGUUUUCCACGUGUGGAAUUUUGUAUGUACCAUAUGAAUAAGGAUCGGCUAACUCCGUGCCAGCAGCCGCGGUAAUACGGAGGAUCCGAGCGUUAUCCGGAUUUAUUGGGUUUAAAGGGAGCGUAGGUGGAUUGUUAAGUCAGUUGUGAAAGUUUGCGGCUCAACCGUAAAAUUGCAGUUGAAACUGGCAGUCUUGAGUACAGUAGAGGUGGGCGGAAUUCGUGGUGUAGCGGUGAAAUGCUUAGAUAUCACGAAGAACUCCGAUUGCGAAGGCAGCUCACUAGACUGUCACUGACACUGAUGCUCGAAAGUGUGGGUAUCAAACAGGAUUAGAUACCCUGGUAGUCCACACAGUAAACGAUGAAUACUCGCUGUUUGCGAUAUACAGUAAGCGGCCAAGCGAAAGCAUUAAGUAUUCCACCUGGGGAGUACGCCGGCAACGGUGAAACUCAAAGGAAUUGACGGGGGCCCGCACAAGCGGAGGAACAUGUGGUUUAAUUCGAUGAUACGCGAGGAACCUUACCCGGGCUUAAAUUGCAACAGAAUAUAUUGGAAACAGUAUAGCCGUAAGGCUGUUGUGAAGGUGCUGCAUGGUUGUCGUCAGCUCGUGCCGUGAGGUGUCGGCUUAAGUGCCAUAACGAGCGCAACCCUUAUCUUUAGUUACUAACAGGUGAUGCUGAGGACUCUAGAGAGACUGCCGUCGUAAGAUGUGAGGAAGGUGGGGAUGACGUCAAAUCAGCACGGCCCUUACGUCCGGGGCUACACACGUGUUACAAUGGGGGGUACAGAAGGCGGCUACCUGGUGACAGGAUGCUAAUCCCAAAAACCUCUCUCAGUUCGGAUCGAAGUCUGCAACCCGACUUCGUGAAGCUGGAUUCGCUAGUAAUCGCGCAUCAGCCAUGGCGCGGUGAAUACGUUCCCGGGCCUUGUACACACCGCCCGUCAAGCCAUGAAAGCCGGGGGUACCUGAAGUACGUAACCGCAAGGAGCGUCCUAGGGUAAAACUGGU